GGCAGUUCUCAGGUGACGCACCUCGGAAUCGGGCUCCUUCCUCUCUGGUUCCGGGUGCGUCAUCUGAGAACCGCA
Molecule: non-coding RNA, 75 nt
Organism: Myotis brandtii (Brandt's bat)
Lineage: Eukaryota; Metazoa; Chordata; Mammalia; Chiroptera; Vespertilionidae
Source: Rfam